This 114-nucleotide small nuclear RNA is filed under the name Fukomys damarensis (Damara mole-rat). RNAcentral describes it as "U4 spliceosomal RNA (ENSFDAG00000003926.1)". It matches the Rfam family "U4 spliceosomal RNA". From Rfam's summary of the family: U4 small nuclear RNA (U4 snRNA) is a component of the major U2-dependent spliceosome. The structure of U4 snRNA from yeast and human has been reported. U4 snRNA presents a k-turn RNA motif in the 5p-SL related to recognition of Snu13 protein. Lineage: Eukaryota; Metazoa; Chordata; Mammalia; Rodentia; Bathyergidae. The record is from RNAcentral.
AAAUUUGCGCAGUGGCAGUAUCAUAGCGAAUGAGGUUUAUCCGAGGCCUGAUUAUUGUUAAUUGAAAACUUUUCCUAAAAUUCCCAGUGAAGCCAUUAUAAAUCUCUAAUAAGA